This 28-nucleotide small RNA is filed under the name Bombyx mori (domestic silkworm). RNAcentral describes it as "ovarian small RNA-20141". The record is from RNAcentral. Lineage: Eukaryota; Metazoa; Arthropoda; Insecta; Lepidoptera; Bombycidae.
UACAAUCGUGACAGUUCUGUACAGGACG